AACUUUCCGUGCGCAGGGCGCCUUCGGGUGCGCCGGUUUUUCCAGAUACUCCGGUCUACUAACUUGUCUACGGCAGCUACCUAU
This 84-nucleotide non-coding RNA is filed under the name Pseudomonas psychrophila. Lineage: Bacteria; Pseudomonadati; Pseudomonadota; Gammaproteobacteria; Pseudomonadales; Pseudomonadaceae. The record is from RNAcentral.